UUCAGCCUCCAUUAAUUCAUGGUAAAGAGGACCACAUUAACCAGGAAGGUAAAACUACUAUUGGAAAUAACUUGGGACAGUGCUGGAAGCAGGAAUCUGAACUGACUGCCUGGUGCUUAAGAAGGUGAAUAAUGACUUGGAGAAGACCUCAUGCGUAUCUUUUGAUCUUUGGGCUUCAGACACCCCUUCACCCAUAAUUAACUUGUGUGUUGACUGAUCACCUGAGUGAUCAAGGGAGACUCGGUAUGUCAGUGGAAACCAGGAAACUAUUAUUCUGUGGCAAAACAGCAAUCAAGCCAACUCGCUUAUGAUACAAAUCAGAUACCUGCAAGAACAAGUCACGUAAUGGGAAAACGUGUUGCAAUAAUACGCAGCAUACAGAACAACCACGCUCUCUCUGGUUACAGCUGAACGACACCACAGCAGCAGCAGAAUAUGUACAAAUUAAACUGUAACAGUGUACCAAGGAGAGGUAUGGUAAUAUCAUAAAAAUUAUCCACAGUACAAUAUGACUAAUGUUGUGUGAAAUGCAUUCACUGGCAAAAUGAUGUUUAGGUGUAUCUGAAGGAGUUAUGCUGAUGGAGUUAAUGGUUAUGGAACAUAGAUAACGGGAGGAAAGGCGACUGAAAGACGAAAGGUUGCAGCAAGGGCAGUGCGGCUGCUCGGCUGAGGAGGACUGUCCAGCAGGCGUAUUGGAAGGUGGGAGAACUGAAACAUAAAGGGAUGUGAUAAGAAUAAAGUUGUAUCUCUCCUGCUCA
Molecule: long non-coding RNA, 758 nt
Filed under: Struthio camelus australis
Lineage: Eukaryota; Metazoa; Chordata; Aves; Struthioniformes; Struthionidae
Description: lncRNA (ENSSCUG00000005825.1)
Source: RNAcentral